Molecule: ribosomal RNA, 484 nt
Filed under: uncultured bacterium
Lineage: Bacteria
Description: partial 16S ribosomal RNA
Rfam family: Bacterial small subunit ribosomal RNA
Source: RNAcentral
AUUGAACGCUGGCGGCAGGCCUAACACAUGCAAGUCGAGCGGAUGAAGGGAGCUUGCUCCUGGAUUCAGCGGCGGACGGGUGAGUAAUGCCUAGGAAUCUGCCUGGUAGUGGGGGAUAACGUCCGGAAACGGGCGCUAAUACCGCAUACGUCCUGAGGGAGAAAGUGGGGGAUCUUCGGACCUCACGCUAUCAGAUGAGCCUAGGUCGGAUUAGCUAGUUGGUGGGGUAAAGGCCUACCAAGGCGACGAUCCGUAACUGGUCUGAGAGGAUGAUCAGUCACACUGGAACUUAGACACGGUCCAGACUCCUACGGGAGGCAGCAGUGGGGAAUAUUGGACAAUGGGCGAAAGCCUGAUCCAGCCAUGCCGCGUGUGUGAAGAAGGUCUUCGGAUUGUAAAGCACUUUAAGUUGGGGGGAAGGGCAGUAAGUUAAUACCUUGCUGUUUUGACGUUACCAACAGAAUAAGCACCGGCUAACUUCGUG